Molecule: long non-coding RNA, 930 nt
Filed under: Cricetulus griseus (Chinese hamster)
Lineage: Eukaryota; Metazoa; Chordata; Mammalia; Rodentia; Cricetidae
Description: lncRNA (ENSCGRG00015005124.2)
Source: RNAcentral
AGUGGAUUUAGUCAUUCAGGAUGAAUUGUUUGUCCCAUUACGAGGAAGACAUUGUGGGUGCUUUAAAUAGAGCAUGGCGAAUUUAGGUGACACAUUUAACGCGAGGGAAGAAAAAGAUGAUUUCCACUCCCCGAAGCAACAGAGAAUCGAAAAGAGGAGGCAUAUACAUCAAUAACUGCCUUGCACCCCAAAUAAGAUAGGUGCCGACUUGGAAACCUAGACAGGAGAGCUGAAACAGGAAGAUGAUCAGAUGGAAUUUUCUGGAUGUUUAGGAACCAAAAGUACACUCAGAUAUAACCAAUUCAUGCCUUAUAUCAGCAGACUAAGCAUAUGCCGACAGUAUGAAAUUCUUGUAUAUUCAAGCAUUUCACUUCAGUGCAACAGUGAAAAAGUGGCCUGUUUUGAAAGUGGGAAGAGGUUAAUGGAAUCAUUUUCAAGUAUGCUGAGCUGGAUCCUGAGAGUUAAGAAGACUGAGCCAUUUUGGCUGUGUGUUUUAUAAGCCAUACGUAUCUACAGAUGCCAGAAAAAAGUUCAAAAAUCAUAUUAGGAACCCUAGACUGCUUUUUCUACUUCACUAGACCCUUAUCCAGUGGCUGAUGGAAGCAGUGACAGACAUCCACAGAAAUACACUGAGCUGAAAUCUAGAACCUAGUUGAAGAGAAGGAGGAAUGAAGAUCGAAGGGGUCUGUACCAGGUUGGAGAAACCCACAGAAAAAGUUGGCCUGAAAAAGGGAAAGCAAAUCGACCACAGACGCUGUUUGGGAGGCCAGUGCGGGACUGAUCCAGCCCCCUGAUCAUGGAUGCCAAUGGGGAGUCCCCUGCACUCCGGGGAGCCUCCGGAGGUGGACUGGCGUUUUCCCCUGGUGUGUGUGGGGACUUUGAGAGCCCAUUCCAUGUGAAGGGAUGCGCUCUGUCUCUGGACACAUGGGG